GGCCAGGCGGUUGCCCUGACAACGGGGAACCGACCGACUCUUCCCGGUAGGGAGAGGCGAUGGCGGAAUUACUCCUCUAAUGUCAAGGUAUUCUAAUCACAGAAUUACUGGAGCAUCAAGAAGUGCCUGCAUGCUUGGAAGGGCUUCCAGGCAGAUGAACACACCUCAGCACCGGGUGGCAUUUUCCCAGGGUGCAACCCGGACCGGCUCUGGGUCACACUGACAAGCCUCUCCGACUCCCCAGGCUGGGUUGGGUGCUCCUCCCUCUCAUCCCACAGCGCUAUGUCUCAUGUCUUCUGGAAAACUUGCCAAUCCCUAGUGACAACAGGGUUAACAAUUUCCAGAGACAGCCCGUACAUAGAAGGAAUGUUUACUGAAAAAAAUGAAGAGGGGUCAGGGCAAGGCGAGGAGCAAGAAGCACCCCCAAGGAAACAGAGAAGACCAGUACAACUGUACCUCUUUGCCAGCUGCACCAUCCGUACCAGUCUCCUGGGGUGGAAGUGUCCAGCACAGAGACUGCCACACUGCAAGACGAAGGGGCUGGACACACGGAAGAGAGAGGCGGAACCCUGCACCCCCUCAACCUCAGCCCUACUGAGUCUCCAAUGGGGCCACGCUUCUGAGUGCACCUCCCCGUGUCAUCUGUAAUGUGAGGGGGAACCAGGCUUGAUAUGGCAUUCCCAAUCCAGGGCCUCUGGACCCCUUGAGAUGCAU
RNAcentral lists this long non-coding RNA (714 nucleotides) under Homo sapiens (human). RNAcentral describes it as "PEF1 and COL16A1 antisense RNA 1". Lineage: Eukaryota; Metazoa; Chordata; Mammalia; Primates; Hominidae. The record is from RNAcentral.